AGAGUUGGAGGAAAGAAAACU
Molecule: microRNA, 21 nt
Filed under: Zea mays
Lineage: Eukaryota; Viridiplantae; Streptophyta; Magnoliopsida; Poales; Poaceae
Description: zma-miR2275d-5p
Source: miRBase by way of RNAcentral